RNAcentral lists this ribosomal RNA (492 nucleotides) under uncultured bacterium. RNAcentral describes it as "bacterial SSU rRNA". It matches the Rfam family "Bacterial small subunit ribosomal RNA", at positions 8 to 518 of the family's 1533-position model. The record is from RNAcentral.
AGAGUUGAUCAUGGCUCAGGACGAACGCUGGCGGCGUGCCUAACACAUGCAAGUCGAGCGAGGAGAUCCUCGGGAUGAUCCUAGCGGCGGACGGGUGAGUAACACGUGGGCAACCUGCCUCAUAGAGAGGAAUAGCCUUCCGAAAGGGAGAUUAAUACCUCAUAACAUUGCAGUUUCGCAUGGAACAGCAAUUAAAGGAGUAAUCCGCUAUGAGAUGGGCCCGCGGCGCAUUAGCUAGUUGGUGAGGUAACGGCUCACCAAGGCGACGAUGCGUAGCCGACCUGAGAGGGUGAUCGGCCACAUUGGGACUGAGACACGGCCCAGACUCCUACGGGAGGCAGCAGUGGGGAAUAUUGCACAAUGGGGGAAACCCUGAUGCAGCAAACCGCCGCGUGAGUGAUGACGGCCUUCGGGUUGUAAAGCUCUGUCUUCAGGGACGAUGAUGACGGUACCUGAGGAGGAAGCCACGGCUAACUACGUGCCAGCAGCUGC